This 253-nucleotide ribosomal RNA is filed under the name uncultured bacterium. RNAcentral's name for it is "partial 16S ribosomal RNA". It matches the Rfam family "Bacterial small subunit ribosomal RNA", at positions 524 to 776 of the family's 1533-position model. The record is from RNAcentral.
UACGGAGGGUGCAAGCGUUAUCCGGAUUCACUGGGUUUAAAGGGUGCGUAGGAGGGCAGGUAAGUCAGUGGUGAAAUCCCCGAGCUUAACUUGGGAACUGCCGUUGAUACUAUCUGUCUUGAAUACCGUGGAGGUGAGCGGAAUAUGUCAUGUAGCGGUGAAAUGCUUAGAUAUGACAUAGAACACCAAUUGCGAAGGCAGCUCGCUAAGCGAAUAUUGGCGCUGAGGCACGAAAGCGUGGGGAUCAAACAGG